Molecule: long non-coding RNA, 1969 nt
Filed under: Triticum aestivum (bread wheat)
Lineage: Eukaryota; Viridiplantae; Streptophyta; Magnoliopsida; Poales; Poaceae
Description: long non-coding RNA (TAES_LNC007994)
Source: RNAcentral
CUUAAUUCACGUAUAUAGAUAUUUAAGAAUGUGGGGAUGAUGCCCAAUUGGAAAGGUUUGCAAUAUUGUAGGAAUCAUUUGGAGAUGGGUUGUAGAUAUUAAGCUAUGAAGGAGAUGAUUUUGAGGUAACAAGCCUUCAGCUUGCUUUCUGUUAACCUUUUUAUGCAUGGGUUCGAUUUGAUGCAAUCUAGGCAUUGUUUGUUGUCAAAUGGAUUAUUUUUUCCUUCUAGGUAACAUCUGAUACUUAGAAUGCAUUAUUUCUGAUGGCCCAGAAAAAACUCUGUGUGCAUAUUGUUCUGUUUAGAUGCAUACAAGAUGCAUGUUUGUGCCUCAUACCUGCUGAUUUGUAUGACUGAGGAACUCUCUUUCUUCCUAGAUGUGGCCAUAUGCUCUUCACUGAUAUAGCAUCUCCUUACUCUUGUAUAUUAUUCACAUAUAGCAUCUCAUUUCUUGGUUGAUUGCUUAUAUAUAUUCAACUUCUGUUUCCUGGCAUUCAUAUAUUACAAGCUAAAUAAAGUUUGCCAUUCCUUUUGGCCAUUUAUAGUUGUAACUAGAAGCAUGGAUGAUCUGUGAUGCUGGCAAUUGUCAGAUUGCACCCAUUUAAUUAUAGCACAAUAUAUCACAUUUGUGGUAAAUUUAGCUAAGCUUGUGCCUACCCUUUUAGUAGUCAAUAUGGUUCAGAUCCAGUAUUUUUUAUUUCCUUUUCUUUUUUUGCUUUCAGCACACAUAUGACAUUAAAGUUCUUUAUCAUGUAUGUAGGCAAAGUAGUUGUGUCACUUACUGAUGCUCUUAUGGUACACAGUACACUAUUAAGCUGUUGGGCCCAGAAACAGGAAGAGUAAUCCUCUUCCAAGGUUAAUUUUGUGCCUACUUCUUUAUGUACAUAACUCAUGAUUUGACAAAUAGUUAAGUUCCCUAUAUUUAUUUAUUUCUUUCUCUUUCACUUUCUCUUUCCUAUUUAUGGUUCUGGAACAAAACUGCUAUCCUUUUCUACAAAAUUGGAACAGAAAAUAAUGUUGACAAAUGAUUAUAACGGCUUAUUUAUUUUCUUGGUGUUAGAUUACUAAUGUGGAGAACUAUAAUUUUUAUUGAUGGUCGCUUGAUGGCGCUCAUUAGAAUUCAUAUAUGAAUCAACAUAUUCUUCCACUCUAAUUAGCAUGUUUGGUCUAUUUAAUUUCAAACAUAUCUAUUAUUCACCAAGGCGACUGCCUAAUUUCAUAUGUGUUCAUAUGCAGAAGGUAAAGAUCGUCUAUUAUCGGCGGUUAUUUUACUUAGUUGUAGAUACUACUGAAUAGUUUGCUUAAAAUUUUGAUAGUUUAAAAGAAGUAUUAUGGUGUAGUGCAGUAAUAAUUUUAUUUAAAAUUGCAGACCUUGCAUCAUAUUUUGCUUGUGUAUGUGGGCAGUGUGUUCAAGUUGAUCUGGAACAAUUUGAAGGGUUUCCUCGACACAAAAUCUUCAGCCAAGGUUUACUGAAGCACCUCGAAUUAUGUAUAGAAGUUUAAAAUUGUAAUUGUUUCAGGUUCUUUGCCACAUUAUGUAUGUUUUUUUAUUUUUUUAAUAAUUGGAUCUAUUUGCUAUGUGGAACAUGUAGCAUUUACUUGAUCAUAAUCUAAUUCAAUUUUUGACCACCAUCUUUUGGCUCUUGCUUUGAACAUAUGUAGUAUCGCUUAGUCAUUUUCUUGACACGACACUUUAGGCAACGGCUCAGACUUCUUGAGGCAUUUUUCUAUUUAUUGUUGAUACAUCUUCCAAAAUAAACGAACAAUGUUUCCUCCAUAUAUGAAUGGCACAAUGACACUAUGAAUUCUUUCCAGUCAAUUGAUCAUCAUAAGCCUCAUCCUGUAUUCUUUUUUUUUGCGGGAUAAGCCUCAUCCUGUAUUCAAUACAUUUAUGUGAUGUCUUCCUCGGGAUGGAAAUGUUCCUUGGCACCAUGACGAACAUCAACGGAGGAACAACCUUUUUAUUUUAU